Molecule: ribosomal RNA, 419 nt
Filed under: uncultured bacterium
Lineage: Bacteria
Description: bacterial SSU rRNA
Rfam family: Bacterial small subunit ribosomal RNA
Source: RNAcentral
GAAUAUUGGGCAAUGGAGGCAACUCUGACCCAGCCAUGCCGCGUGCAGGAAGAAGGCCUUCUGGGUUGUAAACUGCUUUUAUCUGGGAAGAAAACACCUAUGCGUAGGGAACUGACGGUACCAGAUGAAUAAGCACCGGCUAACUCCGUUCCAGCAGCCGCGGUAAUACGGAGGGUGCAAGCGUUGUCCGGAUUUAUUGGGUUUAAAGGGUGCGUAGGCGGCCCGUUAAGUCAGUGGUGAAAUCCUCCAGCUCAACUGGAGAACUGCCAUUGAUACUGACGGGCUUGAGUACAGACGAGGUUGGCGGAAUUGAUUGUGUAGCGGUGAAAUGCAUAGAUACAAUCAAGAACACCGAUUGCGUAGGCAGCUAACUAGGCUGUAACUGACGCUGAGGCACGAAAGCGUGGGGAGCGAACAGG